Molecule: ribosomal RNA, 497 nt
Filed under: uncultured bacterium
Lineage: Bacteria
Description: partial 16S ribosomal RNA
Rfam family: Bacterial small subunit ribosomal RNA
Source: RNAcentral
GAUGAGCGCUGGCGGCGUGCCUAAUACAUGCAGGUCGAGCGAACGGACGAGAAGCUUGCUUCUCUGAUGUUAGCGGCGGACGGGUGAGUAACACGUGGAUAACCUACCUAUAAGACUGGGAUAACUUCGGGAAACCGUAGCUAAUACCGGAUAAUAUUUUGAACCGCAUGGUUCAAAAGUGAAAGACGGUCUUGCUGUCACUUAUAGAUGGAUCCGCGCUGCAUUAGCUAGUUGGUAAGGUAACGGCUUACCAAGGCAACGACGCAUAGCCGACCUGAGAGGGUGAUCGGCCACACUGGAACUGAGACACGGUCCAGACUCCUACGGGAGGCAGCAGUAGGGAAUCUUCCGCAAUGGGCGAAAGCCUGACGGAGCAACGCCGCGUGAGUGAUGAAGGUCUUCGGAUCGUAAAACUCUGUUAUUAGGGAAGAACAUAUGUGUAAGUAACUGUGCACAUCUUGACGGUACCUAAUCGGAAAGCCACGGCUAACUACGUG